This 253-nucleotide ribosomal RNA is filed under the name uncultured bacterium. Its description in RNAcentral is "partial 16S ribosomal RNA". It matches the Rfam family "Bacterial small subunit ribosomal RNA", at positions 524 to 776 of the family's 1533-position model. The record is from RNAcentral.
UACGUAGGGUGCAAGCGUUGUCCGGAAUUAUUGGGCGUAAAGAGCUCGUAGGCGGUUUGUCGCGUCGAAUGUGAAAACCCGGGGCUCAACCCCGGGCCUGCAUUCGAUACGGGCAGACUAGAGUUCGGUAGGGGAGUCUGGAAUUCCUGGUGUAGCGGUGAAAUGCGCAGAUAUCAGGAGGAACACCGGUGGCGAAGGCGGCGUGCUGGACUGCAACUGACACUGAUGAACGAAAGCCAGGGGAGCAAACGGG